UUAUCUCAGACCAUAGUUAAAUAGCUGGGAUUUUUUGUUUCUUGGCAUCAGAGUUUUCUUUAUUUACCACAUGCACAUUAUGAUCCACAGAUUUGAUUCUCAAGCACCUGACUAUGGCCAACUCCUUGGUACUCUCUAAAAAAAGUCCUUUAGAUGAUGACUGAUUUGGAGUUGAAAUAUUUUCUCAGUAAUAUUAAAUAGAAAGUGUUUUCUAUGUUCAGAGAGUGGCCAGAGCAUGUGCAUUGACACCAUCUGCCUCUUGAGUAUCUCCCAGGCCAUCACCAUCAGCCCCAAAAACCUCAUGUGGGCAUAGCUUAAACUACAUGAUUCCAAAUAUAUUUGAAUCUCUAAUAUCCAAAUUAUGUGCUGAAUUCUGAAUAGGCUUAUAAAUGUCAUUUUUCCUAUGUAUGUUACUGGCAAAUGGAACACAAUAAACAACACAAAAAUUAUUUAAAACACUGUUCUGGAGUAGUUAAUAACAGAAUUCCACAUUUAUCACAUGUUGUGCUUUUAUUAUUUUUUAAUGUUUUGUGUUUGGAACUUUUAACCUGGGCCAGCAGCUCCAUGACUUUUAUCCUGUUCAACACAAGUAGUGGGGUCCAACACAUUCAUAGGUCCAACACCACUCCUAAAUUCUCACCUGAGUCCACAGUCACCCAAAACAUCUUUGUCCUAAGGAGCACCUUUGUAUUAUUUUACACUCUCUUCUACAUCUUUUCAGUAUAU
Molecule: long non-coding RNA, 726 nt
Filed under: Homo sapiens (human)
Lineage: Eukaryota; Metazoa; Chordata; Mammalia; Primates; Hominidae
Description: non-protein coding lnc-ZNF730-10:1
Source: RNAcentral